This is a long non-coding RNA of Megalobrama amblycephala (Wuchang bream), 911 nucleotides long. RefSeq lists it as uncharacterized. The record is from RefSeq and is a predicted model, not a curated record. Lineage: Eukaryota; Metazoa; Chordata; Actinopteri; Cypriniformes; Xenocyprididae. The transcript is spliced from 6 exons.
UAAAAUUUUUCCAGGAUUUCACAAGAUAUAACUGUAAUAUUUCACAGUUAAUUACAUUAUUACCACUUCACAGGCUUUAACUGUGAUAAUUCACAAUAUAAUACCGUAUUUAGACUUUUACUGUGAAAAUAAUGCAGGCGCGGGGCUUUUACAAGAAACUACUGUGAAUGCCGUCUUUUUUGACUUUUUUGAGUGGCAACUGCGGCAGCGUCAUCAGAGCGUCAUCAGAGCUCUCUGAUCUACGUGGUCCCAUUCGGUGGAUUCAGACAGCGCUUCUACAUUGACCGACGAUACAUAAAGUUAUAAGCCUUGUGCCACAGCCACUGAUGUAGAAGGGACUGUGAUGCUACCAAGCACCCCUCGCUUGAUUGUUCAAGGUGACAUAAUGAAACCAAGGGCAUGGAUGCUGUCGUUGGAGGGUCAAGUGGUCAUGGGACCUCACCUUGACUUUACAACUGGUCUGGCUGCUAUUUUUUCCAGCUACUACAAUUUUAACUUGAAGUAUGCUGAAGAUGCUGCUUGUACUCUGGAAUUUAUCCAAAGGUGCUUCUUGGGCAUCAACCCAGAGACAGGCACAAAAUCUAAGAGGCAGAGAGGUCACAUGAACCAGCAAGUCUGCACUCUUAUCAGGAAGCUCAUUGACUUCGAAUGGAUGUCAAUCUAAUUGGAUAGAACCCACACUAUGCAGGUGCCAGCUGCGAUGGAAGGAGCGAGACACCUGCGACCCUCUCUAUUCCCACCUUUUUGUCUUUUCUUACAUCUCUCUCCCUCACUCUCUCUUCUCUGUCUCCUCCUUUCUCUUUUGACACACGUUCCUGUUACCCAGUGUCAAUCCCUGUUGCCCAGUGUUUUAUUCAUGUAAUUAAAUUGUAUUUUACUUCUAAAAAAUAAAAGUUAUGUCACUGUUUUUA